CAUUACACAACAAAAUAUGAAGGCCUGGCUUCGCGGCCGGCUGAAAUAUUUUUUUCACCCAUGUCUUUUGCGCACUUGUUGUUUCCUGGGCGGGUUCGCCCGCCACCAGGACCAAACCAUAAACCUUUUUUUUAUGCAGUUGCAAUCAGCGUCAGUAAAAACAAUGUAAUUAUUACAACUUUCAACAACGGAUCUCUUGGUUCUGGCAUCGAUGAAGAACGCAGCGAAAUGCGAUACGUAGUGUGAAUUGCAGAAUUCAGUGAAUCAUCGAAUCUUUGAACGCACAUUGCGCCCUUUGGUAUUCCAAAGGGCAUGCCUGUUCGAGCGUCAUUUGUACCUUCAAGCUUUGCUUGGUGUUGGGCGUUUUUUGUCUCCCUCUUUCUGGGAGACUCGCCUUAAAACGAUUGGCAGCCGGCCUACUGGUUUCGGAGCGCAGCACAUAUUUUGCGCUUUGUAUCAGGAGAAAAGGACGGUAAUCCAUCAAGACUCUACAUUUUUAACUUUUGACCUCGGAUCAGGUAGGGAUACCCGCUGAACUUAAGCAUAUCAAUAAGCGGAGGAAAAGAAACCAACAGGGAUUGCCCUAGUAACGGCGAGUGAAGCGGCAACAGCUCAAAUUUGAAAUCUGGCUCUUUCAGAGUCCGAGUUGUAAUUUGCAGAGGGCGCUUUGGCUUUGGCAGCGGUCCAAGUUCCUUGGAACAGGACGUCACAGAGGGUGAGAAUCCCGUACGU
This 732-nucleotide ribosomal RNA is filed under the name fungal sp. RNAcentral's name for it is "eukaryotic LSU rRNA". The stretch from base 505 to 732 matches the Rfam family "Eukaryotic large subunit ribosomal RNA", at positions 1 to 228 of the family's 3401-position model. The record is from RNAcentral. Lineage: Eukaryota; Fungi.